This is a long non-coding RNA of Balaenoptera musculus (blue whale), 598 nucleotides long. RefSeq lists it as uncharacterized. Lineage: Eukaryota; Metazoa; Chordata; Mammalia; Artiodactyla; Balaenopteridae. The record is from RefSeq and is a predicted model, not a curated record. The transcript is spliced from 2 exons.
AAGCAAUUAAAGAAGGACAAACAAAGGCGGAUACUUUCCUAACAUCACAUUAAAGAUGUACAGCCCAAAGCGGAAAAACUCCUUGCCCGGUUCCAAGAUGAGCGCCUCCUUGUACCACGUGUCUGACAGCGCUUACUCUUCGUCCCACGUCAGGUUUAGCUCCGUCGGCCUUCGCUGGUCGCGUUUAAAGGGCCAAUGCCCCGCGUUUACUCUGGGACGUCUCUGGAGACGGGAAGAUGGCUGCUGGAAGCAAGGGGGAGGGCAGGCGGAAUGAGGAUGUGGAGCAGCACCUGCUCAGUGCAGAAAACCUGUUGCCAACAUAGUCAACGUUGGGAAGGAAGCCAAGACACACAAGCUGUUAGACGGCAAAUGAUUUCUAGUCCUCAGAGAAGAAUUCAUCACCAGGAAGUGCGGGAGACGACUGAAGUAUGCUGACAUUUUGUUCAUUCUUGAAUAAGGAGUCAGGGUCAGGUUGAUUCCUUUUAGGCCAAAGAUAGGCCCUCCUGUCUCUCAAAACCAGAUGUGAAAUGUCCUUUCUACUCGAAGGUGGCUCUAAUUAACAACUCAAACCAUGUAUAUAAAGUAAUCCCAGUAAUUA